GACCUAUUUUUACAACUCUUUAUCAUUUGGGACGCAUACUCUUCCUCUAAAUUUGACUAAACCAUCACUGUGUGUGCUGAAUUCUACUCUUGUUUCUUGUUAUGUGUCUUUUCUUAUCAAUUGUAACUCAUUAUCUGACAUUUGUCCUUAUCUCAUUCUUUGAAUUAAAGUCGAUUGAACCCUAAUACUGGCUAAAUAUCCUUUCUUGCGCCGUUCUUUAAUUUCUAGCCACUGCAUUACUUCCCUCGGUUCCCAGUCACAGAUCAUUAUAUAUGUCAAUAAUCUCGUACUUUUCCUACAGAGGGCAUCAUCGACCAUAUUCUCUUUGAUUGGAUGUUAUUGGAUUUUAUAGUUAAUGUCCUUCAGUAGCUCUAUCUAUCGUAUCUGACACAUAUUAAGUUCUUUUUAGAGAAUAUUUAUUGUAAACUCUUAUGUUCAGUGUAGAUUUCAAAGGUCUC
This 458-nucleotide long non-coding RNA is filed under the name Carica papaya (papaya). Its description in RNAcentral is "long non-coding RNA (CPAP_LNC010007)". The record is from RNAcentral. Lineage: Eukaryota; Viridiplantae; Streptophyta; Magnoliopsida; Brassicales; Caricaceae.